This 2343-nucleotide long non-coding RNA is filed under the name Gossypium barbadense (sea-island cotton). RNAcentral describes it as "long non-coding RNA (GBAR_LNC004105)". Lineage: Eukaryota; Viridiplantae; Streptophyta; Magnoliopsida; Malvales; Malvaceae. The record is from RNAcentral.
AAACACAUUUCAUUUAUUUAUUUAUAACAUCCGACCAGUCGGAUUCGUAAACAAGUAAGUGACUUUUUUAAUUUCAACGGGAGAUAUCUCUCCUACAUCUGAAUGUUGCUCUUCAAAGGGUUUUAGCAGUAAAAGAACAUUUGUUAAGGUGAGAAUGCGUACAAAGACUUUGUUAUUAGUUCUACAGCUAUCAACUGUCAUGGGUUGAAAAUCACUACACAACUCCUCCAAUUCGCUUGUUUUGUCUCACACUGAAUGAGAAAAGCCAUUGAAUGGGUGGAGUAUUGCUUCAAAUGUUUGAAUCUCAUCAAUGAGGAGAUUAGUAAAACAUGCUCUAGUUUUUUUGAUUGCUUGCAACUUAAAUUUUUUUUUUUAUUUCUCAUUUACUCUUUUUGCCAACCUUAUUUUAAUUUUUUAUUGAUUCUUAGUUUUAGAAAAAGCAAAUGCAAUUUUUUUAAUAUAAUUAUAAAAAUAAUAUUUAAUACACCAUUAAUGAAUAAUAACAUGAUAAAUUAAAUAAAAAAUAUGGAUAACUUAUAAAUAAAUACAAAUAUUUUUAUUUUAAAAUAAUCAAACAUUAAUCAUAACAUUUAGGAUGUUAGGUUUAAAGGUGUAAGGUCUAAAAUUUAGGAUUUCAGGUUUAGAGUUUUAUAGUUUGUUUAUAAUUAAUUAUGUUUAAAUAAAUUUUUUAGUAUUUAUUUUUUAAGUCCUCCACAAUUUUUUGUUUUCUUCAAUAAUGAGAUAUCAUAUUAUUAUUCAUCGAUAAUGCAUAGUACUUAUGCACCGAUAAUACAUCAAAUAUUCUCCUUAACUAUAAUAUAUAUGAACAAAAAAAAUAUAACUUUAACAUGUAAUUUUAAUAGUUUUAACUACUAUUUAACGUUAAAAUUAUUUCAUUUUAUAUUUUAUUAUAGAAUAUUAUUUAAUAUAAGUAUGGUUUUAAUAAUCUUUCUUUUUUAUUAUAUCUAUAUACUCAUUUUAAUCUAGUGUUUUUUUAAUUUUAUCAUAGUUGAUCUCAUUGCUCAUCCAAAUAAAUCUUAGAACAAAUGUUUUACCUUUAAUUUUUUAGGCUUUUAGUUGGCAUUCCAGGCAAUGUUAUCUUUAAUGUUUGAAUUUAUUUUCUUUAAAGUGAACUGCAUCUUACCGCGGCUCGCAAUAUUUAAAUAAAUUAUUGAAAUAAAAUUAUAUUAUUUAAUUAUUAUAUGUUCCACUUGAAUGCUUUCACAGUGGCUUCAACAAGAUGGGUUGGGAGUACAGAGUGUGAGAAUAGGCUGACUGAUUCUUUCUUCUGUAGUUAGUUUCUCCUUUUUUUUUCAUUUGAGAAAAAAACAUUAACUCAAGGAAAGGCUUGAGAAUUAAUGGAGUCAAAUAUGCAUGGCAGCGUAGUAUCUCAUGAAGGUAUUUGGCAUGCUCAAGACCUGGGAGAAUGACUGUCAUGCAUGAAACGUAAUUCAACUAUGUGCUGUAUGUAUUUUAUGUUGUGCCACAAUCACAAAGCCAAUUGGGGAAGUUCAUUGAGAUAUUCACGGUUUGAGUUACUGGUUUAAGGUGCAUAAUUUUCUAUAUAAUUCGCUUAAUAUGAUUUUUGGGUUUCAGGGCACUACUGCUUUCAAAGGGAUGCAACACUUGACCCUGGUUCAGAUCUAGUGUAUGAAACUGCGUUUUUUUUUUCAGCAGUGAUGACAUCCUAUUGCGCUGCUAUGCUAUCAACUUGAAUAUGGAAACUGGUGGUUCAAUUAAAUUAGCCACAGAAACUACGAGAUUGUCUUUAUGGUACCUAUGAAAGCUCUAGUCGCUGAAGUGAGAGAUUCUUAGUCACGCAGGUAUGUUUCAAAGCAAUAAUCUUAAGAGUUUACCAUGGUUUAACAAUUCCUCAUGCUGGGAUUGGCAAGGAAUUUUCACCAAAUUGUAUCUUCCAACUCCCUUUGCUGCUCCUUCAGAUUCAGGGGGACCAAACCAACAGAGGUAAGUCCAAAAUUUCAGCUGAUUUUGAUGGAUACUCUAUCUGGUUUCAUCACAAAUUUUUCUUUAUUGUCUUUUGUUACAGGCCCUAAACUUCAAAUUCUUAUACCGCUGGAAAUAAACAGGCAUGCAUCCAUCCAAUACAUGAUCUAAAAUUAAAAAAAUCAACAAAGUUUUUUUACAACAUAAGUUUCAGCUUGAUUGAAAACAACAAAACAAUAAAGGAUUCACACCAUACAGUUUAGAUUAAUAACUAAAACCACAAAUUAACAAUCCCCCAACAACAAAGUUGGUUUGAUUGUUCUAAAGAGGUGCUUAAUUCCUUACUAUUUUCCCACUAAAUAGCAUUAGGCAGAUCUAGAAAAUGAUAUUCAUUUUCCC